AGAGUUUGAUCAUGGCUCAGAUUGACGCUGGCGGAUGCUUUACACAUGCAAGUCGAGGGCAGGCGGGGGCAACCCUGGCGGCGAGCGGCGAACGGGUGAGUAAUAUAUCGGAACAUGUCCGGAAGUGGGGGGUAGCUCGCGAAAGCCGGAUUAAUACCGCAUAUGCCCUGAGGGGGAAAGCGGGGGAUCGUAAGACCUCGCGCUUUCGGAGUGGCCGAUAUCGGAUUAGCUAGUUGGUGGGGUAAAGGCUCACCAAGGCGACGAUCCGUAGCUGGUCUGAGAGGACGACCAGCCACACUGGAACUGAGACACGGUCCAGACUCCUACGGGAGGCAGCAGUGGGGAAUUUUGGACAAUGGGGGCAACCCUGAUCCAGCCAUUCCGCGUGAGUGAAGAAGGCUUCGGGUUGUAAAGCUCUUUCAGCUGGAAAGAAACGGUCACGGCCAAUACCCGUGACUAAUGACGGUACCAGCAGAAGAAGCACCGGCUAACUACGUGCCAGCAGCCGCGGUAAUACGUAGGGUGCGAGCGUUAAUCGGAAUUACUGGGCGUAANNCGUGCGCAGGCGGUUUUGUAAGACAGGUGUGAAAUCCCCGGGCUUAACCUGGGAACUGCAUUUGUGACUGCAAGGCUAGAGUACGGCAGAGGGGGGUAGAAUUCCACGUAGCAGUGAAAUGCGUAGAUAUGUGGAGGAAUACCGAUGGCGAAGGCAGCCCCCUGGGUCGAUACUGACGCUCAUGCACGAAAGCGUGGGGAGCAAACAGGAUUAGAUACCCUAGUAGUCC
Molecule: ribosomal RNA, 785 nt
Filed under: uncultured bacterium
Lineage: Bacteria
Description: bacterial SSU rRNA
Rfam family: Bacterial small subunit ribosomal RNA
Source: RNAcentral